CCUAGUUUAACUCCUCAUGUGCGCAUUGAUAACCUCUGGUGUAAUUAACCAUGCAUUGUAGAGUAUUUAAUGCACAUGCGGAUAUGACAAAUUAACAAGGCAGGCAGGCAGGCAUCCCGUGGGCACACAUCCCCGGGAACUGUACAAUGUGGAAUACUGUAACAUUAGAGCAAACGCACAAGGUGCCUGAAUAACAAAACAAAGGUUGAGAGAGGUGUAUUCUGCUGAGAGCGCGGAGAGCUCGCGCUCUCUACGGCUUUCUGAGGGGAACGAGAGCUCCUACUUGAUGCUGCCGGCGGAAAGUGCGCGCUGCAGGGCGACGGCGCAGUCACAUGCGCCCAUCAAAGCCUCUGCUGCAAGCGGGAGGAACCUGGCAGUGACAGGCCGAAUCAAGGCCUACACAGGAAGGAGUACUGGAAGGACUGAGGAGAUCUUGUCUUAAUGUACAGACAGACCAGGAGGCAAGCUGGCAGCAGAGAGAGGCCACCUUGGGCAUAAGAGGUGAGGCCUACUCUUAACAUCACACCUCCAGCUAACCCCACCCCCAAUCUCCAGCUUCAGCCAGAAAUUGGCCUGCCACCUCAGUGGAUAUGGACAGAGAAAGCUGCGAUUUAGCAGGUUUCUUGGCAAGGACAAGACCUAGCGAGCGGAUUGCCUAUCCGUGUUUUGGGGCGAUUAGAACCAGAUGGGUCAGGUUGUGCCCUCCCGCCAGGCUAGGGCAGUGGAGUGACUGUCACUCAGACCCAUCUGGGGGGGAGGCAUGUUAUGGCACUGAGGGUGUAAGUGUAAACAGUCUCCGUUAUAUGACUGACACUCAGUUUUGGUGGUAGACCUGACAUCCUCCAUUUGACACAGAAACAUAGAGGAAUACAGCUAGAGCCAGCUAGAGAGAAAGGGAAACAUGCUGGAGAGGGACUGGAGAAGAGAAAAAUAUUGAUUUUUGAAAAUUAGCACCCAGGGUAGUGAGAUGGCAGGAAGAAGGGAGAUACACAUUUAGAAGAAUUCCUUUAAAGAUUAUCAUGAAACAUAGAUGCAUUUUAGCUUUGUCUACGCCUGAUGAGGUUUAAAGAUAAGCACACAUGGAAAGGGAAGGGGGAAGGAGGUGCUGUGGUGACUCUUCUCCUUCCUUUCAUUCUUUCAUUCUGCCACUUUCUCCUGAUCAGGUUUCUCCCGGUCUAUCAGCUGAGUGGUCGUAUGGGGUUUGAUCAAUGGCAGGAAACCAGCAGAUCAAAUGGUAAUUUAUCUGAAAAAGAUAGGCUAGCAUCUACACAACCAUGCCUCUGAGCUACAAGCUCUCACAGUCUCAUGCCAAGAAUUAAAUGUUAAUGAUUUUCAAAUGUCAAAUUCAGAAGUUGUUCCAAUUAAGUUUUUGGCAUUAUCUUCGAAUUCUUAAGGUUAGGCAUUAACUCAGAAAGGUUAAGGUAAGGUUUGGGAUAUGAUUAAAACAAAAAUAUUAAAAAACAACUUUCUAUUGCUGGUGGUUCUCCUUGUGUUGUGGGGGUUGUGUGUAGUGUUUUUCCCCAUAGUACACAGUAACGCUGAGGGUGGAUGCAUACAGCACACCUAGGGGGUUAUUUAAUAUGCACAAUUAUUACUCACUCACUCUCCACCAGCUGUAUGCAAAUAUACAACAUAUUGCCUUGGGUCUCUGUGGAGAACCUCACUACUCGCUCCGACUCACCAUAGGCUUUUAUCUGUAAUUAUACUACACACUAAAUUCAUCUCUAGGUUUAUUGAUUUUGAUAUUUUUUAUUACCAUUGUUCAACAAUGCGCAAUAAGGGAUUGCAGUGGUGUUUCCAUUUGGCAGUUGUUUGCUGUAAUUCUGAAAUAGUUUAAACCACUUGAUUGUAUUAUGCAUUUUAAAUACAUGUUAUGAGCUGAUAUUGGAUUAAUUGCCCACAUUCUCAGAAUGUUCUAUUUUUGUUACAUAUUAAAGUACUUAAAUAGGAUACGUUUGCUCACGUAUAAUGGAUUUCAGCAGACAAUGGACCCCCUUCUUGUGAAUUAGAAUCGUCCCCAAGGGCAAAACUCGAACUGAACUACAAUGGGAUAUUGCUACAAUGCUUUCCAAGAAAUAAGACAAUAUUUAGUAUUUAUUAGGAUCCCCAUUAGCUACAGCCAAGGCAGCAGCUACUCUUCCUGGGGUCCAAAUAUGAAUAAAAACUGUUGCAUCUAAACAAAACAGCCGCCUACAUCAUAAAUAUAACUAUAUAUCAUACAAUACAUUAUUACAUCUUUACUUGAAUAUUACACAUUUACAAUAUAAAAUGUACAAUACUACAAUAAUACAAUAUUACAAUGUGUGUGUGUCUAGUGUGUGUGUUAGAGUGUGUGUAUGCGUGUGUUUGUGUGUGUCUCUUCACAGAGAGACACACACGUUGUGCCGUGAGGUAUUGUUUUAUCCGUUUUUUAAAUCUGAUUUUACCGUGCGUUUCCCAGAGUUUUUUAUGGACUUGGGGACUGUGAAAAGACCCCUGGUGGCAUGUCUUGUGGGGUAUGUAUGGGUGUCUGAGCAGUGUGUUAGCUGUUUGAACAUACCGUUUGGUGCUUUCAAUAUGUGAAUUCCUCUCACAAAAACAAGUGUCCUCUACUUUGAGCCAGGAGAGAUUGACUUCAUGUUAUUGAUAUUAGCCCUCCAAUAUUAGCCCAAAUACUGUAUUUUCUAUGGCAUAUCUGGAAACACUUAAUUGACACCACAAUGCCUUUACAGUAAUGAUUUGUAUCUAAUCUACUAACUGAGCUGAGGUAUUGUUCUUUCGUGAGGAGAGGGGUGUUCCUAAUCUGAGCCCGAUACAAUGUGGUGCUGUGUUCCUAAUCUGGGACCCUUACAGUAGGUUCUCCUGCCACCCCUUGUAACUCUUUGCUUCUGUCAAAAUAGACAUUCUCAAAUUGAAUUAAGGUCCUGUUCUGUGCUGCACCCCCACGGACCCCUUCGAGCGCUCUCCUGAACCCCCUUGGUCCGGUCCUGUUCCCCUCAUCCAGCCGCCUCGGACUAAUUAAAACCAAUGUGGCCUUGUCUUCACUGGAUUAACUCUAACGAGGAUUCACUGACUCCACCAGCAUGUGCCUCUUGAUGAGAGAGAGAGAGACAGAGACAGAGACAGAGAUAGACAGAAAAAAAAUGGGAGGAUUUGUCCAGGCAACCUUAGCCUUGAAACCCAACACUUAAUUCACUACAGAUGAUACAGAAAAGGUGGAAGAGAGAAAGAGAGAAAGAGACAAAUAUACUUAUGUUGAUAGUUUAAAUCACUAGUGUGUGUAGUGUUUUAAAAACUGUUAGUGAAACAAUUGAAACGUGGGCUUAUUGUGAAGAGAGUCAUAAAAUGGACCUCUGGUCAGCCCUCUUUGAAUCCAUUUGAUUCCAUCAUACAGAGAGAGGAAUGCCAAUUCUCUUUCUUUGUGUGUGUGUGUGUGUGUGUGUGUGUGUGUGUGUGUGUGUGUGUGUGUGUGUGUGUGUGUGUGUGUGUGUGUGUGUGUGUGUGCGUGCCAGGGGCAGAGAAAAAUGUAAUUCUCUGUCUUUGAUAAUGCAUUAAUAAUAAAAUGC
Molecule: long non-coding RNA, 3545 nt
Organism: Oncorhynchus mykiss (rainbow trout)
Lineage: Eukaryota; Metazoa; Chordata; Actinopteri; Salmoniformes; Salmonidae
Source: RefSeq, a predicted model, not a curated record